Molecule: small nucleolar RNA, 103 nt
Filed under: Phocoena sinus (vaquita)
Lineage: Eukaryota; Metazoa; Chordata; Mammalia; Artiodactyla; Phocoenidae
Description: Small nucleolar RNA SNORD113/SNORD114 family (ENSPSNG00000000318.1)
Rfam family: Small nucleolar RNA SNORD113/SNORD114 family (bases 29-103)
About the family: The imprinted human domain at 14q32 contains two clusters of tandemly repeated small nucleolar RNAs named 14q(I) and 14q(II) snoRNAs. These two clusters are named SNORD113 and SNORD114 respectively in the HGNC approved gene symbol nomenclature.
Source: RNAcentral
UGGAUCGAUGUUGAUAAAUGCCAGCGUAUGAGUUGAUGUUGAUAAAUGCCAGCGUAUGAGUCGUCGAUGAUGAAUAAUACGUGUCUGGAACUCUGAGGUCCAA